This 460-nucleotide ribosomal RNA is filed under the name uncultured bacterium. RNAcentral's name for it is "partial 16S ribosomal RNA". It matches the Rfam family "Bacterial small subunit ribosomal RNA", at positions 338 to 795 of the family's 1533-position model. The record is from RNAcentral.
CCUACGGGUGGCAGCAGUGAGGAAUAUUGGUCAAUGGGCUGACGCCUGAACCAGCCAAGUAGCGUGCAGGAUGACGGCCCUACGGGUUGUAAACUGCUUUUAUACGGGAAUAACGCGCCUUACGUGUAGGGCUUUGCAUGUACCGUGUGAAUAAGGACCGGCUAAUUCCCUGCCAGCCGCCGCGGUAAUACCGAAGGUCCGGGCGUUAUCCGGAUUUAUUGGGUUUAAAGGGAUCGUAGGCCGCAUGUCAAGCGUGCUGUGAAAUGUCCGGGCUCAACCCGGGCCUUGCAGCGCGAACUGGCGUGCUUGAGUCCGCGGAAAGCAGGCGGAAUUCGUGGUGUAGCGGUGAAAUGCUUAGAUAUGACGAAGAACCCCGAUUGCGAAGGCAGCUUGCUGCAGCGGAACUGACGCUGAUGCUCGAAAGCGCGGGUAUCGAACAGGAUUAGAUACCCGGGUAGUC